GGUGUUGUGGCUCAGUGGUAGAGUGCUUGCCUAGCAUGUGUGAGGCACUGGGUUUGAUUCUCAGCACCACAUCA
RNAcentral lists this transfer RNA (74 nucleotides) under Marmota monax (woodchuck). RNAcentral's name for it is "tRNA.Ala". It matches the Rfam family "tRNA". From Rfam's summary of the family: Transfer RNA (tRNA) molecules are approximately 80 nucleotides in length. Their secondary structure includes four short double-helical elements and three loops (D, anti-codon, and T loops). Lineage: Eukaryota; Metazoa; Chordata; Mammalia; Rodentia; Sciuridae. The record is from RNAcentral.